RNAcentral lists this long non-coding RNA (452 nucleotides) under Lepisosteus oculatus (spotted gar). RNAcentral's name for it is "lncRNA (ENSLOCG00000022317.1)". Lineage: Eukaryota; Metazoa; Chordata; Actinopteri; Semionotiformes; Lepisosteidae. The record is from RNAcentral.
CUGCAGGACCUGUGGAUCUGCAGGAUCUGUGGAUCUCAUCCGGCCCCUCUCUCUCUGUCUCUCUGGCUCCAGACCCCCGCAGUGCCCCCGUCUCGCCCUCGCCCUUGCGCAAGGCUCCCAGCUCCCAGAGCAUGCUGGAGGAGCGCCGCGUGAUCCUGGGCUCCAGCCGCCGGAAGCUCAGCUCCCGCUACGGCAUCUCGGAGUCCUUCAGCCCCGGGGACAACCGGGCCACGCCCCGGGAUCGCUUCCGGCAGAGAGUCGGCACCAUCGUCUGGGAGCCCGCCGCCCCCCCCAGCCGGGACAGCCUGAGCUCCUGCAGCGAGGCGGGCGAGGAGAGCACCGCUCUGACUGAGGACAGGGAGGCGACCGAGCUCAGCGUCUCGUCCGCGACUGAAGACUGCCAAUCCAUCAGCACUGACCAGGCUCCACUGACCAAGAAAAACAGCCUGUAG